AGUGAGGCUGUAGAGGCACAAACACAGACCAGCUGCAGGCUCUGGUCCAGGCCACCGGGGGGCGCUGCCACCAGAGACUGUAUAUGAACAGCUGCUACCUGAUGCCAGUCGGUCUGAACGGAGUCCUGCAGAAGGCUGACCCUGUUCCUACCUGUCCUUAAACCAGUGUGAUGUCAUGAGGUCCUGUCUGACCCCUGAGGACCACAGGCCCAGGUGCAGUGUGGGUAAUGGCGGCCUGCUGGGCGCUCCAGAGUUUUUCCCAGGAUGCCGAGUGUUGGCGAGGAGGGAGGAGGAC
This is a long non-coding RNA of Centropristis striata (black sea bass), 295 nucleotides long. RefSeq lists it as uncharacterized. NCBI's taxonomy places the organism in Eukaryota, Metazoa, Chordata, Actinopteri, Perciformes, Serranidae. The transcript has 4 exons. The record is from RefSeq and is a predicted model, not a curated record.